AUACGGAGGGGGCUAGCGUUGUUCGGAAUAACUGGGCGUAAAGAGCACGUAGGUGGUUAAUUAAGUCGGAUGUGAAAUCCCUGGGCUCAACCGAGGAAGUGCAUUCGAAACUACAUGACUAGAGGACGGUAGAGGGAGGUGGAAUUCCUAGUGUAGAGGUGAAAUUCGUAGAUAUUAGGAGGAAUACCGGUGGCGAAGGCGGCCUCCUGGGCCGGUCCUGACACUGAGACGCGAAAGCGUGGGGAGCAAACAGGAUUAGAAACCCCAGUAGUCC
RNAcentral lists this ribosomal RNA (274 nucleotides) under uncultured bacterium. RNAcentral's name for it is "partial 16S ribosomal RNA". It matches the Rfam family "Bacterial small subunit ribosomal RNA", at positions 523 to 796 of the family's 1533-position model. The record is from RNAcentral.